This 487-nucleotide long non-coding RNA is filed under the name Oreochromis niloticus (Nile tilapia). RNAcentral's name for it is "lncRNA (ENSONIG00000034823.1)". The record is from RNAcentral. Lineage: Eukaryota; Metazoa; Chordata; Actinopteri; Cichliformes; Cichlidae.
AUGUUUCUAGGUCAGUCAAGCAGCCUGGGAGCUGCUGAAUUUGAAUCCACCAAUCAGAGAGGCUGUGUACUUUUUCCCGCCAAAACAGGUGCAGCCGUUUUCACGUAUUUGUGCCAAAACAUAGUGUUUCUGCCAUAUUGUGGUACUACUACAUUACAACAUGAAUACGGAUUAAAGACGAAAGAAACUGGCACCAAAUUCCUCCACUACAAACCAGUCUGAUACCACUUCUUUGCAGUGUUCACGUUUACUAAGGCACUACCCAAAAGGCGCCACAAGAGGGCACUCCAACACAAGAGAUGACCUAUGUACACUGAUGCACUUAGUAACAGUCAGCCUCCUUGAAUUGGCAGAAAUACUGUGAUUUAGUAGUAAUACUAUGAUGUUGCAGACAUAGUAUGUUUUUGCACUACUCAUUUGUAGUGAAAAAAAUUAGCAAUAUAAAUUACAGGUCUGUGAAAGUGUAUAAAUUUGUAGUGAAAAAAAA